GACGAACGCUGGCGGCGUGCUUAACACAUGCAAGUCGAACGGAAAGGCCUUUUCGGCGGUACUCGAGUGGCGAACGGGUGCGUAACACGUGGGUGAUCUGCCCUGCACUCUGGGAUAAGCCUGGGAAACUGGGUCUAAUACCGGAUAGGACCGCACUUUAGAGUGUGUGGGGGAAAGUUUUUUCGGUGUAGGAUGAGCCCGCGGCCUAUCAGCUUGUUGGUGGGGUAAUGGCCUACCAAGGCGGCGACGGGUAGCCGGACUGAGAGGUUGGUCGGCCACACUGGGACUGAGAUACGGCCCAGACUCCUACGGGAGGCAGCAGUGGGGAAUAUUGCACAAUGGGCGCAAGCCUGAUGCAGCGACGCCGCGUGGGGGAUGACGGCCUUCGGGUUGUAAACUCCUUUCGCCAGGGACGAAGCGUUUUGUGACGGUACCUGGAGAAGAAGCACCGGCUAACUACGUG
RNAcentral lists this ribosomal RNA (463 nucleotides) under uncultured bacterium. Its description in RNAcentral is "partial 16S ribosomal RNA". It matches the Rfam family "Bacterial small subunit ribosomal RNA", at positions 28 to 507 of the family's 1533-position model. The record is from RNAcentral.